UACGGAGGGUGCGAGCGUUGUUCGGAAUCACUGGGCGUAAAGCGCGUGUAGGCGGCUCUUCAAGUCAGGCGUGAAAGCCCCGGGCUUAACUCGGGAACUGCGCUUGAUACUGUCGAGCUAGAGUGUGGAAGGGGCGAUUGGAAUUCCGUGUGUAGCGGUGAAAUGCGUAGAUAUACGGAGGAACACCAGAGGCGAAGGCGGAUCGCUGGGCCAACACUGACGCUGAUGUGCGAAAGCUAGGGGAGCAAACGGG
RNAcentral lists this ribosomal RNA (253 nucleotides) under uncultured bacterium. Its description in RNAcentral is "partial 16S ribosomal RNA". It matches the Rfam family "Bacterial small subunit ribosomal RNA", at positions 524 to 776 of the family's 1533-position model. The record is from RNAcentral.